GCGCCCGUAGCUCAAUUGGAUAGAGCAUCUGACUUCGGAUCAGAAGGUUGGGGGUUCGAGCCCCUCCGGGCGCG
Molecule: transfer RNA, 74 nt
Filed under: Gemmatimonadaceae bacterium
Lineage: Bacteria; Pseudomonadati; Gemmatimonadota; Gemmatimonadia; Gemmatimonadales; Gemmatimonadaceae
Also listed under: 2 other names
Description: tRNA-Arg
Rfam family: tRNA
About the family: Transfer RNA (tRNA) molecules are approximately 80 nucleotides in length. Their secondary structure includes four short double-helical elements and three loops (D, anti-codon, and T loops). Further hydrogen bonds mediate the characteristic L-shaped molecular structure. tRNAs have two regions of fundamental functional importance: the anti-codon, which is responsible for specific mRNA codon recognition, and the 3' end, to which the tRNAs corresponding amino acid is attached (by aminoacyl-tRNA synthetases). tRNAs cope with the degeneracy of the genetic code in two manners: having more than one tRNA (with a specific anti-codon) for a particular amino acid; and 'wobble' base-pairing, i.e. permitting non-standard base-pairing at the 3rd anti-codon position.
Source: RNAcentral